CUCCUCCUGCUCUGCCUUCUUCUUCCCUCCCCUUGGCCAGGUGCGGUCCGUGCGAGCUGCCCUCCAGUCUCAGGGUUAGGGCGGGCAGGGCUCUGCCCUCGCCCCGCUGCCGCACUUCGAGAGAGGGACGAACGGAGGGUCUUACCGGGGAUCUUGUCUCCCCUAGGCAGGUCCUCUGUGGCAGCUUCUCUAGACCUUUGUGCAGUAUUUGGGGAAAAAAAAACUCAAGUCCAACAGAAAAUCUCUCUGUUCUUUCCAAUUGAUCUGAAAAUUCUCCAAAACCUGGGCUGCAGCCAAAGAUUUCAAGAUGUGCCCAUUCAAAUAAAGCUGAGUUAUAAAGCAAAGACAUUCCUACAAAUGAGAAGCAAACUGUGAUUAGUGUUGAAAAUUUUUGUUCCCCUUGGAGAACAGAGAAGUUCAAAGAGCCUCUGUUUCUUCCUGAUGUAAAAGAAAUCUCACUUCUGACUCUUCAACACUUUUCAGCUGUGUCGCUUGAUUCUGAGAGUCUUCCUCAUCUGAACUGUCCCUGAAGCCAGGUGGAGGAGCAGCAAUGGCCAUGUUUAAGGUAUGCAAUAGGAAAUCAUCUUCAUUAUCAUCACCUUCUGGGGGUGGAAGUGAAGUCAAAUCAAUAAUGUCAUCACUAGAACCAGAAAGGCUGAGAAGAGCAGGCCUAUUGAUUUCUCCUACCAUAAUGUCUUCUUCACAGCUUACUUCAUCUUCGUCCUCAGCAUCAUCUGUGUUUUCUGCAUAGCAAAUAUCAUGCAGCAAAGGCUCUUCAAUCCCUUCCGCAGCUCCAAAUAUUUUACCAUCGCUUAUAGUUGCGUAAACAGAAUUCGUAGCAAACUGAAGACUUUCAGCAUCUGGGGACAACUCCAGGCCUUUAAUGUCAUUGGCAUUACUAAUGUAAAUGGCUCUUUGUUUUUCUAGUACUUCUGGACUUUCAUCCAAAAGCCUUUCAUAGCCAAGAGUCUGGGGACUGAUACCAU
Long non-coding RNA from Apus apus (common swift), 986 nucleotides. RefSeq lists it as uncharacterized. The transcript is spliced from 5 exons. The record is from RefSeq and is a predicted model, not a curated record. NCBI's taxonomy places the organism in Eukaryota, Metazoa, Chordata, Aves, Apodiformes, Apodidae.